RNAcentral lists this ribosomal RNA (490 nucleotides) under uncultured bacterium. RNAcentral's name for it is "partial 16S ribosomal RNA". It matches the Rfam family "Bacterial small subunit ribosomal RNA", at positions 30 to 507 of the family's 1533-position model. The record is from RNAcentral.
AUUGAACGCUGGCGGCAGGCCUAACACAUGCAAGUCGAACGGUAACAGGAAGCAGCUUGCUGCUUCGCUGACGAGUGGCGGACGGGUGAGUAAUGUCUGGGAAGCUGCCUGAUGGAGGGGGAUAACUACUGGAAACGGUAGCUAAUACCGCAUAAUGUCGCAAGACCAAAGAGGGGGACCUUCGGGCCUCUUGCCAUCGGAUGUGCCCAGAUGGGAUUAGCUUGUUGGUGGGGUAACGGCUCACCAAGGCGACGAUCCCUAGCUGGUCUGAGAGGAUGACCAGCCACACUGGGACUGAGACACGGUCCAGACUCCUACGGGAGGCAGCAGUGGGGAAUAUUGCACAAUGGGCGCAAGCCUGAUGCAGCCAUGCCGCGUGUAUGAAGAAGGCCUUCGGGUUGUAAAGUACUUUCAGCGGGGAGGAAGGGAGUAAAGUUAAUACCUUUGCUCAUUGACGUUACCAGCAGAAGAAGCACCGGCUAACUCCGUG